AUGCUAGUGUGGAAUAUCUGGGGUCUCAACAAUCUGGCACGUCGAUGCACUAUCGCUCAACUGGUUUUGGCAGCCAACCCUGCCGUGGUUUGCUUACAGGAGACAAAAGUGGAGCUUGUAAUGCUAGAUCUUGUGAAACAUUGCCUUGGGAAUAAAUUUGAAAACUUCUACUACUUGACGGCCACCGUCACAUGUGGGGGCAUCUUGUUGGCUUGGGACGCCUCCAUGGUGGCUGUCUCCAACCCGCACUACAUUGACAACACAUUGACAGCCUUAGUUCAUCCUUGA
RNAcentral lists this ribosomal RNA (288 nucleotides) under Triticum aestivum (bread wheat). Its description in RNAcentral is "partial small subunit ribosomal RNA". Lineage: Eukaryota; Viridiplantae; Streptophyta; Magnoliopsida; Poales; Poaceae. The record is from RNAcentral.